Molecule: ribosomal RNA, 119 nt
Filed under: Carassius auratus (goldfish)
Lineage: Eukaryota; Metazoa; Chordata; Actinopteri; Cypriniformes; Cyprinidae
Source: RNAcentral
GCUUACGGCCAUACCAACCUGGCUAUGCCCGAUCUCGUCUGAUCUCGGAAGCUAAGCAGGUUUGGGGCUGGUUAGUACUUGGAUGGUAGACCGCCUGGGAAUACCAGGUGCUGUAAGCU